Molecule: ribosomal RNA, 492 nt
Filed under: uncultured bacterium
Lineage: Bacteria
Description: bacterial SSU rRNA
Rfam family: Bacterial small subunit ribosomal RNA
Source: RNAcentral
GAUGAACGCUAGCGGCAGGCUUAAUACAUGCAAGUCGAACGGGAUUCGGGGUAGCAAUACUUUGAUGAGAGUGGCGCACGGGUGCGUAACGCGUAUGCAACCUACCUUUAACAGGGGAAUAGCCCCGAGAAAUCGGGAUUAAUACUCCGUAACAUUGCGGUGUGGCAUCACACUGCACUUAAAGCUGAGGCGGUUAAAGAUGGGCAUGCGUGACAUUAGCUAGUUGGUGAGGUAACGGCUCACCAAGGCAACGAUGUCUAGGGGUCCUGAGAGGGUUAUCCCCCACACUGGUACUGAGACACGGACCAGACUCCUACGGGAGGCAGCAGUAAGGAAUAUUGGUCAAUGGGCGCAAGCCUGAACCAGCCAUGCCGCGUGCAGGAAGACGGCCCUAUGGGUUGUAAACUGCUUUUGUCAGGGAAUAAACCCCGCCUCGUGAGCGGGGCUGAAGGUACCUGAAGAAUAAGCAUCGGCUAACUCCGUGCCAGCAGC